RNAcentral lists this ribosomal RNA (1516 nucleotides) under uncultured bacterium. RNAcentral describes it as "bacterial SSU rRNA". It matches the Rfam family "Bacterial small subunit ribosomal RNA". The record is from RNAcentral.
GCCUAACACAUGCAAGUCGAACGAGAAACCAGUUCUUCGGAGCUGGAAGUAAAGUGGCGCACGGGUGAGUAACGCGUGAGUAACCUACCCUCAUGACUGGGAUAACGGCGGGAAACUGUCGCUAAUACCGGAUGAAGUCCGGAGCCGAUGGGCUACUGGACCAAAGGAGGCCUCUCCAUGGAAGCUUCCGCAGGGGGAUGGGCUCGCGUCCCAUUAGCUAGUUGGUAGGGUAAUGGCCUACCAAGGCGACGAUGGGUAGCCGGCCUGAGAGGGUGUCCGGCCACACUGGAACUGAAAUACGGUCCAGACUCCUACGGGAGGCAGCAGUGAGGAAUUUUGCGCAAUGGACGAAAGUCUGACGCAGCGACGCCGCGUGGGCGAUGAAGCUUCUUGGAGUGUAAAGCCCUGUCAGGUGGGACGAACCCGCGGGGGGUGAAUAACCUUUCGCGCUGACGGUACCACCAGAGGAAGCCCCGGCUAACUCCGUGCCAGCAGCCGCGGUAAUACGGAGGGGGCAAGCGUUGUUCGGAAUUACUGGGUGUAAAGGGUGCGCAGGUGGUCCGCUCAGUCUGAUGUGAAAUCCCUGGGCUCAACUCAGGAAGUGCAUCGGAAACUGGCGGGCUAGAGUACCGGAGAGGGAAGCGGAAUUCCUGGUGUAGCGGUGAAAUGCGUAGAUACCAGGAGGAACACCGGUGGCGAAGGCGGCUUCCUGGCCGAGUACUGACACUCAUGCACGAAAGCGUGGGGAGCAAACGGGAUUAGAUACCCCGGUAGUCCACGCUGUAAACGAUGGGUACUAGGUGUUGGAGGUAUCGACCCCUCCAGUGCCGCAGCUAACGCAUUAAGUACCCCACCUGGGGAGUACGUUCGCAAGAAUGAAACUCAAAGGAAUUGACGGGGGCCCGCACAAGCGGUGGAGCAUGUGGUUUAAUUCGACGCAACGCGAAGAACCUUACCUGGGUUUGAACUUCGGGUGACAGCCCCUGAAAGGGGGACUUCNUUCGGGACACCUGGAGAGGUGCUGCAUGGCUGUCGUCAGCUCGUGUCGUGAGAUGUUGGGUUAAGUCCCGUAACGAGCGCAACCCCUAUCCUUAGUUGCCAGCGGGUCAAGCCGGGAACUCUAAGGAACCCGCCGGUGACAAACCGGAGGAAGGUGGGGAUGACGUCAAGUCCUCAUGGCCUUUAUGUCCAGGGCUACACACGUGCUACAAUGGACGGUACAAAGGGUUGCCAAGCCGCGAGGUGGAGCUAAUCCCAAAAAGCCGUUCUCAGUUCGGAUUGGAGUCUGCAACUCGACUCCAUGAAGGUGGAAUCGCUAGUAAUCGUGGAUCAGCAUGCCACGGUGAAUACGUUCCCGGGCCUUGUACACACCGCCCGUCACACCACGAAAGUUGGUUGUACUAGAAACCGCCGAGCUAACCCGUCAAGGGAGGCAGGCGUCUAAGGUAUGGCCAGCGAUUGGGGUGAAGUCGUAACAAGGUAGCUGUAGGAGAACCUGCGGCUGGAUCACCUCCUU